AGCUCCCUACUCAUCCACUGGCAGUAUAUAAUGUAUCAGGUGAGUUUGCCAUGUUGUGGCAUGGAGCUGAAGCUGGAGCUUUUGACCUGCACACUGCUGUUAUGGAGGCCAUGACUGCUUUCCGUCGUGCAGGAGCCGACAUCAUCACCUACUACUGUCCACAAUUACUCACAUGGUUAACAGAGUAAUAUGUUGGUUCUCCAAUAUGAAUGAACUUGGAUAAUACCAAAUCUACUACUAUCUCACCCUGAGACUGAAAAUUAUGACUUGUAGUAAAUCUGAUAUGCAAAUAUUACUACACAAAUCAAUAACUUUUUUUCCACAUUUUCUAAUUAGAUUUAUGUAUCUAGAUAUAAACAUAUUCAAUCAGCUUUGGUUUUUAUAAUUUUCUGUCAUUUUGGCAAGUGCAGAUGUUAAAUUGGUCAUUGUUUUCCAAAAUAUGAUUGAUUACAUCACAGAUUUGUUGUAAUUUUAAUGUGUUUCUGUAACACUAGCAAUAGACUUCAGGUUUGUAAUUACAGAAUUUUUUUUUCAAAUCAGUGUACUAAUAAUCACAUUAACAUAGGAAGUCCUGUUGGCAUUUCCAUUUUAAGUUUUACAUUGUUUCAUGUAGUGCAUUUUCUAAAUGUAUGUAACUAAAAAGAUAUGAAUAAAGCAAGAGAUAAACAUGGUAAACAUAAUUUGUUUAUUAUAGUUAAUAAACAUUAUUUACAUGUCUCUUGACCACUCAGUUUUGUAUUAUGCUUUAUUUACUGAGCAGGUUAUCAAAAAUGCCCAUCCCCUUCAUAGAGUUUACAGGCAAUUCAUCAUCGCUGUUAGUAUAUGAAAAAUAUUGGAAAUAUGGAUUUAUCUUAAGUGUUUUAAUUCCCAACAGAGUUUCAAAAAGCGCUGCUUAUAUAGGAACCACGUUGAACGGGGAAGGGUGACUUGGUAGAGGUGCCCUUGAGACUGACCAAACUUGGUGUCCUGCAGAACAAAGAAUAAUUUAGAAGUACCUAAACUUUUAUCCAAAUACCUUUGAAUGAUUUCUAAAGUAAUGUCCAUAUAUUACUUAAUGAUAACAUGUCACCCUGUGUUUGUGGCUCUUUUUGAGGAUGUAAGACAUGAAU
Long non-coding RNA from Carassius carassius (crucian carp), 1109 nucleotides. RefSeq lists it as uncharacterized. The record is from RefSeq and is a predicted model, not a curated record. NCBI's taxonomy places the organism in Eukaryota, Metazoa, Chordata, Actinopteri, Cypriniformes, Cyprinidae. The transcript has 2 exons.